Capsicum annuum is the source of this 1597-nucleotide long non-coding RNA. RefSeq lists it as uncharacterized. Lineage: Eukaryota; Viridiplantae; Streptophyta; Magnoliopsida; Solanales; Solanaceae. The transcript has 3 exons. The record is from RefSeq and is a predicted model, not a curated record.
AUAACUUCCCCAUCCACAUAAUUUUUCUUCUUCAAGAAAUUAACCCUAUUUUUUGCGUUUUCAUAAUCAAGUCAGCAAUUUUUUUCCUCAUCUUCAUGGUGUCUCAAUUUCAUUUUUUAAUUGAACUUUUGGAAAUCAAGAAGCAUGUUACUUAUAUAUUUUGGUAACCGAUUUAAAUUGAAGAAACUGCUCUUUUCAAAGCAUAAUUUUUCACAGUUUUACAAAAGUCCAUUCUUUUGCUUGGCAGUUGUCGAUGAGUUUUCUUUGAUUUACAUAAGAUUUUGGGUAUGGAAAUCAAAGUUCCUUUCUGGGUAUCACAAACAUUUAGUAGAUCUGCAAAAAUUUGACAUUGGAAGGUUGGUGUGUGCUGCAGAUGUGCAACUUAAAGGAAGAGGAGUUCAAAUAAUGUGUGCCAAUCCAAAAGAGGGGUUGCCUUUUGUUUUCAUUUUCAAAACAAGUGGAAGAUGGCAAAGUUGUGAAACAUUUCCCGUAUGCCAUCUGUCUUUUCCAUGUUAGAGGCCAUUAAAGUUAUGUGUUUGGAAAAGGUAAGUAUUUAUAUUACAAAUGUGUACUGACAUUCUAAAAUUGAAAUUAGAUUAGUGAAUGUAUGGAAAAAAUAGGAAUGAGAUUACUGUGAUGCAUGUACACAUUUCUUACAAUGAUCUACAGUUUUCUCACAUAUCUUUUUAUGUUGUAUAUUCUAGCUUUGAUGCCUGUGAAUAUUUUUAUGUUUGUUGCGGCAUUUGUGGAAGGUUGAAUUCAGGAUGCCUACACAUAUUUGCAGGUGACUGUAAUUGGGGGAGCCAUGAUUAUCACCUAGUGAAUUUAAAAUAUGAGUAACUUUAUACAUGAACUAGCAGAAGGAGGUUCGACACCUACUAUAUAUAUUUAAAAAGAAAAUUCGACCAUGAAUCAAUAUUGCUAAUUUUCUGUCCAGUGGGUUAGAAUGAGUCCAUUGGCUUACUAUAUUUUUUAAAUUCUAUUUGUUAUUGAUAUUUUUGUGUGCAUAUGUGUAUAAGUUGAUUUCAACGGAGGCUUUUAUCUUCUACUACCAUGAGAGUGUAUACUAUUUUUAAGUAAAUUUCAACUUUUAUGUGUCCUUUUUUCCUCAUGUACGAAGUAGUAGUUCACAUCAGAGCAAGUUAAAUGAUGCUAACUGAAUUACCAUACCGAGUUGAGGGAAGGAACCUUUUGACAGCCCUAGCAGGACCUGUAUCAGCACGGUCUUGUUCAGCAUUAAAGUCAGCUCAACAAAAAACAUAGCUUGGAUUACCUUCGGUAUAGAAAGCUCAAGUAAUCUUCAAUAGCCUUUUUGAUUGCUGGCAAGUGUUCAUCAAAAAUUCUAAGGGAAUAUAAUCUCCCUUUGAAAAUCUUUCUGGAAAGUAGGUAAUUGGAAUUCAAGAAAAUGGAGAGAUACCAAAAAAUCAAUAGGAUAUGAAGGAAGAAAAUGUCGGCAGAGAAAUAAGUUAGAAUGGAUGAACCAUAAGUUCAUUGAAAAAGAUUUAAAAGACUUUGAUAAAAUAAUUCCUGUAUUCAUUUUAAUCCUGUUUUUCUUUAAAAUUUUAUAAUGUAAAUACUUCUUAUAAUUCACUAUUUU